CUUUAAUAAUUAUUAAGUGGUCGGUUAAUUUUAUUGUGAAGUAAUCGCAUAUUCGGAAACCCCAGGGGGGAGGCUAAGACGUAAAUCAACCGGGAGAACGGGAAAUCCUACUGAAGGGUUUCCCUUUUGAAAUUACGGGGGCAGGGGUAUAAAACCGGGGGCAAUCCCCCUUAAAGUUGGGAUAACCCCGGGAAACCGGGGUUAAUCCCGCAUAAACUUUUUGCUGCCAAAAGUGAAAAUUGAAAGGCGGCUUUAGCUGUCAUUUAAGAAUGGCCCCGGUGCCAUUAGCUAGUUGGUAAGGUAACGGCUUACCAAGGCGACGAUGGGUAGCCGACCUGAGAGGUGAUCGGCCCACCUGGGACUGAGACCCGGUCCAGAUUCCUACGGGAGGCAGCAGUAGGGAAUCUUCCGCAAUGGACGAAAGUCUGACGGAGCAACCCCGCGUGAGUGAUGAAGGUUUUCGGAUCGUAAAACUCUGUUGUCAGGGAAGAACAAGUGCCGUUUGAAUAAGGCGGCACCUUGACGGUACCUGACCAGAAAGCCCCGGCUAAUUACGUGCCAGCAGCCGCGGUAAUACGUAGGGGGCAAGCGUUGUCCGGAAUUAUUGGGCGUAAAGCGCGCGCAGGCGGUCCUUUAAGUCUGAUGUGAAAGCCCACGGCUUAACCGUGGAGGGCCAUUGGAAACUGGAGGACUUGAGUACAGAAGAGGAGAGUGGAAUUCCACGUGUAGCGGUGAAAUGCGUAGAGAUGUGGAGGAACACCAGUGGCGAAGGCGACUCUCUGGUCUGUAACUGACGCUGAGGUGCGAAAGCGUGGGGAGCGAACAGGAUUAGAUACCCUGGUAGUCCACGCCGUAAACGAUGAGUGCUAGGUGUUAGGGGGUUUCCGCCCCUUAGUGCUGAAGUUAACGCAUUAAGCACUCCGCCUGGGGAGUACGGCCGCAAGGCUGAAACUCAAAAGAAUUGACGGGGGCCCGCACAAGCGGUGGAGCAUGUGGUUUAAUUCGAAGCAACGCGAAGAACCUUACCAGGUCUUGACAUCCUCUGCCAAUCCUAGAGAUAGGAUGUUCCCUUCGGGGACAGAGUGACAGGUGGUGCAUGGUUGUCGUCAGCUCGUGUCGUGAGAUGUUGGGUUAAGUCCCGCAACGAGCGCAACCCUUGAUCUUAGUUGCCAGCAUUUAGUUGGGCACUCUAAGGUGACUGCCGGUGACAAACCGGAGGAAGGUGGGGAUGACGUCAAAUCAUCAUGCCCCUUAUGACCUGGGCUACACACGUGCUACAAUGGAUGGAACAAAGGGCAGCGAAGCCGCGAGGUCAAGCAAAUCCCAUAAAACCAUUCUCAGUUCGGAUUGCAGGCUGCAACUCGCCUGCAUGAAGCCGGAAUCGCUAGUAAUCGCGGAUCAGCAUGCCGCGGUGAAUACGUUCCCGGGCCUUGUACACACCGCCCGUCACACCACGAGAGUUGGUAACACCCGAAGUCGGUGAGGUAACCUUUGAGCCAGCCGCCGUAAGUGACCGAUUGCU
RNAcentral lists this ribosomal RNA (1522 nucleotides) under Virgibacillus marismortui. RNAcentral's name for it is "bacterial SSU rRNA". It matches the Rfam family "Bacterial small subunit ribosomal RNA". The record is from RNAcentral. Lineage: Bacteria; Bacillati; Bacillota; Bacilli; Caryophanales; Bacillaceae.